GCCGUGAGGUGUUGCCUUAAGUGGCGCAACGAGCGCAACCCCUGUCCUUAGUUGCCAGCGGGUAAUGCCGGGAACUCUAGGGAGACUGCCGGUGCCAAACCGGAGGAAGGUGGGGAUGACGUCAAGUCAUCAUGCCCCUUAUAUCCAGGGCUGCACGCAUGCUACAAUGCGCGAUACAGAGGGUUGCGAUCCCGCAAGGGGGAGCGAAUCCCAAAAAGUCGCGCUCAGUUCGGAUCGAGGUCUGCAACCCGACCUCGUGAAGUCGGAGUCGCUAGUAAUCGCAGAUCAGCAAUGCUGCGGUGAAUACGUUCCCGGGCCUUGUACACACCGCCCGUCACACCACGAAAGUGGGCAACACCCGAAGCCGGUGGCCUAACCCUUUUGGGAGGGAGCCGUCGAAGGUGGGGCUCGCGAUUGGGGUGAAGUCGUAACAAGGUAGCCGUACCGGAAGGUGCGGCUGGAUCACCUCCUUUCUAAGGGGCCUUUGGCACUAUUCGAGUGGACCGGACGUUCGUUCCGAUCACAUCCUCGAAAGACUCCAGGUCGAUCACUGGCUUCCCGUCGUGCUGUCCUCAUGCGCCUUGCCUAGUAGCCCCGUUCGCGGGGCGAACGACGAGGUGGGUGGAACGGCCGACGGGACACACUGUUCAGCUUUGAGGGUGCGAGCCCUCCGAGCACCUUGAGAACUCGAUAGCGAGCGCGAGCAUCAAUAGUCAAGUUACAAAGGGCUUACGGUGGAUGCCUUGGCGCCAGGAGCCGAUGAAGGACGCGUCAGGCUGCGAAAAGCUUCGGGGAGCUGCCGAGAGAGCUUUGAUCCGGAGAUGU
This 825-nucleotide small RNA is filed under the name uncultured Actinomycetales bacterium. RNAcentral's name for it is "bacterial SSU rRNA". The stretch from base 1 to 473 matches the Rfam family "Bacterial small subunit ribosomal RNA", at positions 1064 to 1533 of the family's 1533-position model. The record is from RNAcentral. Lineage: Bacteria; Bacillati; Actinomycetota; Actinomycetes; Actinomycetales.